CUUGCCAGUCGUUGAUCUAUGCCAUCGACCCCACAAUGCUGGGUUCACGUGACAAGAGGGGAGGAACGGAGAGGAGUAGACAGGAGAAAUACAAGGCGGAGAGGGGGAGAGACAAAGGAGAUGAGAAGAGGAAAGGAGGAGCAGAGAGGAGCUGUCAUGUAUAUGCAAGCAGAAGUCAUGGAAAAUGUCCUUGGAAAGCCCUGGGAAACUGAUUUCCUAAAAAGUGGGAAGCCUACACAUAUGAAGGAGAUGACAUCGAACACAAAAGUGUGUUGCAAGCAUUUCAGAGAGGAUCAUGUUGUUCAGCACAAAGACUCAGGCGAGAUGUUUCUGUGUCCGGGUAGAAUUCAGACAUAAUGGUGUUUAGAAAUAGGCUGUCUCAUAUUGUAAACCAA
This is a long non-coding RNA of Lampris incognitus (smalleye Pacific opah), 395 nucleotides long. RefSeq lists it as uncharacterized. The record is from RefSeq and is a predicted model, not a curated record. The transcript has 3 exons. NCBI's taxonomy places the organism in Eukaryota, Metazoa, Chordata, Actinopteri, Lampriformes, Lampridae.